Molecule: ribosomal RNA, 491 nt
Filed under: uncultured bacterium
Lineage: Bacteria
Description: partial 16S ribosomal RNA
Rfam family: Bacterial small subunit ribosomal RNA
Source: RNAcentral
GAUGAACGCUGGCUACAGGCUUAACACAUGCAAGUCGAGGGGAAACGACGGGGAAGCUUGCUUCCCCGGGCGUCGACCGGCGCACGGGUGAGUAACGCGUAUCCAACCUGCCUCUGACUGAGGGAUAACCCGUCGAAAGUCGGCCUAAUACCUCAUGGCAUCGUCUGCGGGCAUCCAACGACGAUUAAAGAUUUCAUCGGUCAGGGAUGGGGAUGCGUCUGAUUAGCUUGUUGGCGGGGUAACGGCCCACCAAGGCUACGAUCAGUAGGGGUUCUGAGAGGCAGGUCCCCCACAUUGGAACUGAGACACGGUCCAAACUCCUACGGGAGGCAGCAGUGAGGAAUAUUGGUCAAUGGGCGGGAGCCUGAACCAGCCAAGUAGCGUGCAGGAUGACGGCCAUAUGGGUUGUAAACUGCUUUUAUGCGGGGAUAAAGUGAGGGACGUGUCCUUCAUUGCAGGUACCGCAUGAAUAAGGACCGGCUAAUUCCGUG